Long non-coding RNA from Labeo rohita (rohu), 317 nucleotides. RefSeq lists it as uncharacterized. The record is from RefSeq and is a predicted model, not a curated record. Lineage: Eukaryota; Metazoa; Chordata; Actinopteri; Cypriniformes; Cyprinidae. The transcript has 3 exons.
GCCAAAUCAUGUGAUUUCUUGUUGAUAAUUGUCUGGACCCCGAGUUGACGUUCAAGAUUUGGUUCAGAUGGUUUCCUCACAUCGAAGUUCAUCCUUUUAUCCAGGAGCCAGGAUAGAAAUGGAUGGAAAAAUGUGGACUUGGACGAGCUGGAAGUCUUCGUGUUGAGGGGAUUUAAGAGACCAGAAGCUGCCGAUCGCGGGGACCAGACUGGGGUGUACGAGUCUGAUGAAGGAUUUUAGUAUCUACUCGGUCGUCAUGGAAACAGCCAAGAUGCUGGGUACAACAAGGGAAAGUGAGAGAAGGAGAGAUGGAGGGU